This 492-nucleotide ribosomal RNA is filed under the name uncultured bacterium. Its description in RNAcentral is "partial 16S ribosomal RNA". It matches the Rfam family "Bacterial small subunit ribosomal RNA", at positions 28 to 507 of the family's 1533-position model. The record is from RNAcentral.
GAUGAACGCUAGCUACAGGCUUAACACAUGCAAGUCGAGGGGAAACGCCAUCGAAAGCUUGCUUUUGAUGGGCGUCGACCGGCGCACGGGUGAGUAACGCGUAUCCAACCUGCCCACCACUUGGGGAUAACCUUGCGAAAGUAAGACUAAUACCCAAUGACGUCUCUAGAAGACAUCUGAAAGAGAUUAAAGAUUUAUCGGUGAUGGAUGGGGAUGCGUCUGAUUAGCUUGUUGGCGGGGUAACGGCCCACCAAGGCGACGAUCAGUAGGGGUUCUGAGAGGAAGGUCCCCCAAAGUGGAACUGAGACACGGUCCAAACUCCUACGGGAGGCAGCAGUGAGGAAUAUUGGUCAAUGGACGAGAGUCUGAACCAGCCAAGUAGCGUGCAGGAUGACGGCCCUAUGGGUUGUAAACUGCUUUUAUAAGGGAAUAAAGUGAGUCUCGUGAGACUUUUUGCAUGUACCUUAUGAAUAAGGACCGGCUAAUUCCGUG